RNAcentral lists this ribosomal RNA (497 nucleotides) under uncultured bacterium. RNAcentral describes it as "partial 16S ribosomal RNA". It matches the Rfam family "Bacterial small subunit ribosomal RNA", at positions 28 to 507 of the family's 1533-position model. The record is from RNAcentral.
GAUGAACGCUGGCGGCGUGCCUAAUACAUGCAAGUCGAGCGAACAGACGAGGAGCUUGCUCCUCUGACGUUAGCGGCGGACGGGUGAGUAACACGUGGAUAACCUACCUAUAAGACUGGGAUAACUUCGGGAAACCGGAGCUAAUACCGGAUAAUAUAUUGAACCGCAUGGUUCAAUAGUGAAAGACGGUUUUGCUGUCACUUAUAGAUGGAUCCGCGCCGCAUUAGCUAGUUGGUAAGGUAACGGCUUACCAAGGCGACGCUGCGUAGCCGACCUGAGAGGGUGAUCGGCCACACUGGAACUGAGACACGGACCAGACUCCUACGGGAGGCAGCAGUAGGGAAUCUUCCGCAAUGGGCGAAAGCAUGACGGAGCAACGCCGCGUGAGUGAUGAAGGUCUUCGGAUCGUAAAACUCUGUUAUUAGGGAAGAACAAAUGUGUAAGUAACUAUGCACGUCUUGACGGUACCUAAUCAGAAAGCCACGGCUAACUACGUG